GAGACUCUGUGCGCGUGCAUAUCAAUAAGCGGAGGAAAAGAAACUAACAAGGAUUCCCUUAGUAACGGCGAGUGAAGCGGGAAGAGCUCAAAUUUGAAAUCUUCAAGGUUCUACCUUGACGAAUUGUAGUUUAUAGAAGUGUUUUCUGUUAGUAGAGUGGCAAAAGUUCUUUGGAAUAGGACAUCAUAGAGGGUGAGAAUCCCGUAUUUGGUCAUUCUUUCUAGCUUUGUGAUACACUUUCAACGAGUCGGAUUGUUUGGGAAUGCAGUCCAAAAUGGGUGGUAAAUUUCAUCUAAAGCUAAAUAUUGGCGAGAGACCGAUAGCGAACAAGUACCGUGAGGGAAAGAUGAAAAGAACUUUGAAAAGAGAGUUAAACAGUACGUGAAAUUGUCAAAAGGGAAGCGUUUGACACCAGUGUUGUUUUUCCGAAAAUCAAUUACGAAUGUUUUGUUCUUGAGGAGUUAUGACUUCAUCGGCUUGCUCCUUUCUUUACGAAACUUUCUUAAUGCACUUUUCGUUUAACAAGUCAACAUCAGUUUCUUUUGUUGUAAAAGGGUCAUUGGAAGGUGGCUUUCUUUUCGGAGAAAGUGUUUAUAGCCUUUGAUCUCUGCAACCGGAGAGACUGAGGUCUGCAGCGUAGACUCUUCGGGGUUAAAUACAUUUGUGCUAAGCUAUAGCUUUUUAUAGACAACUUGUUGACUAUAUUUAGUCUUGUGGCUUACUCGCUUAUGCUAUUUUACCUACGCUUAGGAUGUUGAGUCGUAGAGCACGCA
RNAcentral lists this ribosomal RNA (773 nucleotides) under uncultured Neocallimastigales. RNAcentral describes it as "partial large subunit ribosomal RNA". It matches the Rfam family "Eukaryotic large subunit ribosomal RNA", at positions 23 to 630 of the family's 3401-position model. Lineage: Eukaryota; Fungi; Neocallimastigomycota; Neocallimastigomycetes; Neocallimastigales. The record is from RNAcentral.